Xyrichtys novacula (pearly razorfish) is the source of this 3984-nucleotide non-coding RNA. The record is from the annotation of a GenBank genome assembly. Lineage: Eukaryota; Metazoa; Chordata; Actinopteri; Labriformes; Labridae.
CAGCUUUUCUCUGGUGACCUCUGGUGACUUCUCAGUGAUCUCUCACACCAGAGGAGGUUUGGCUGCCUCAGGGGAGGUCAUGUGGAGGGUAAGGCUGCAUAGACCUGCAAAUACAUGCAUGCACAGGCAGGCAAAUACACACCACAAAGACCUAAGAAGGUUUUUGUUUCUAACUUGAAAAAAGAAAUCUGUCAAACUGAUAUGACACUAUUUUACACUGCACAGGCUUGGUGGAUUUAACCAUGAUUUUUAAUCAAUAAAUUAAUAAUAAUGCAUAUUCUUGUGAUCUUUUUAAUUGAAAAGACCAUUAAAACACUUGAGACUUGUGACUUUAAGUUAACUUGAGUUAAUCCACCACCAACUUUCUGACUGAGAAAAAAAAACUGACUAUCACUGAACUUAGCCCCUGAACAAUCAACAUGCAAUAAUGAAAACAGUGCGAAUCACAGUGAAGGCUAGUAUACAGAUCAGUCCCUAAUAUUACAUAAAUAAACACCUAAAUAUGAGAAUGGUAAAAACAGAUUUUAGUCAAAGUAAUUUUGAUACAUUUGCAUUGUUUGUAUAAACCUAUGAUUGACAACUACAUUGAACAACAUUCAUGAUCUUCUCACAGAUAAUCAGUCAAUGACUCACCUGUUAGUGUGAGGAAUAUAAAAGGCAAAAAGUGAACAUUCCCCCUCCCUCAAAGGUGGUGUAGAAAGCAGGAAAAUUCGCAGGUUUAAAGAUGAGAGGGAGUUUUCCGAUGAGAGAAUUGUCAGUCAUGCCUCUAAUUCCCCAAACUUGUAAUCGUAAUUUCAAAACAAAUGCAUUACAAAAAAAAUCCCACUCCCUGGACAGUGGGAACCCUGAGCUUUUCAGGCCAAUGCCAUUUUUUUGUACCAGGCUGAUAACGUGUUUAUUUUUGCUCUUGAAUGGACUUAUUUUCUUUCACUUAUUUGUACAUAGUUUCUAGUGCUUCCAGCCGGCCUCAAGAAACUGUAGUUUUUUAGCACUUAUGCAUUAGCUUCAUUUCUUAAGACUGGAGGGUGCUGUUUUGCCAGAACCAAACAGAGGCCUGUUGAGACCUUUUUCAACCCAACUGAUGCAGUGAUUCAUGCAGAGGUGGUAUGAAGUAUGUGUGUGCACACUUAAAUGGUUAAGAGCUACAUAUAAGCACCAAACAGAUGUUAUAAUCCUGUGUCUUAUUUUCAACUUUACAAAUGAAUACAAAAAAGGAAGAACAUGUAAUUCUUAAUUUAAUUCUUUGAGGGCUCAAAAGGAAGCUGUAGUAUUAAAUCACUAUUUGAACUGAAAAAAAGAAAAAGAAAAGUAAACUUCUGCAAAUUGCCAACACUGUUUUAAAAUAUAGUGUGUUUGAGUUUGCUUGCAAUUUUAGUCUGCCUUAUAAAAUGCAUUGUGAAGUACCAUCAAAUCUGGAGAAUCAGUCGCAUGGUGCGAAACACACAGUUUGUUUUUGGGGGGCUUUCAGAGAAGAGAAGAUUUAAUCUGUGUUCCUGCAUGAUGCCUUCCAUUGCAUUCUGCAAUAUGCAAUUUCUGUGUGACUCUGUAGAUCGUUGUAGAUAGUUGUGUGAUAUGGAGGACCCAUUGCACCCUGUCAGACUUGCACACCAGCCUCUGCUGGUCACUUCUCUUAAAAUUAAGGAGUCUUUUCAACCAAACCAGCGCUCCACAAGAGCUGGUCCAUCUUCUAGGGGAAAUAUCAUAAACUGCUCUGUAUUUUAUACUGGUAUACUGGUUACUCCAGUGUAUAGGUCCCACUUACUUUAUCCAUGCACACACUUUUAACAUGUGUGCUACUCUAAAAUUUACAGUAAUUUUCUAGAAUUUAGAGUCACAACAAUAGAUGUGACUUUCAGUUAUAAAUGUGCUAAAGCAAAGAAAACAGCUAACAUUGUGUUGCAACAAAGGCCAGACGGUGAAUUUUAACCCAAGUCCUGUCGCUGACAAAGCAAAGAGCCUCUUGUGGUUCAAGAUAGGAUGCGAUACGAUAUGAUACUAUACAACACAAUAUGAUACAAUACGAUAUGAUACAAUACCGAACAAUACGAUACAAUAAACAAUACAAUAUGAUACAAUACGAUAUGCUAUGAUAUGAUAUAAUACAAUACUAUACAAUAUGAUACGAUACAAUAUAAUACAAUAUGAUACAAUAUGGUACUAUAUGAUACAAUACUUUAUAGUACAAUACGAUACGAUACAAUAUGAUACUUUACAAUACAAGAUGAUACUAUACAGACAAUACAAUACGAUACAAUACGAUAUGAUGCGAUACUGAAUAAAACAAUACAAUACGAUAUGAUACCCUACAUGAUACCAUACGAUACAAUACUGUACAGUACAAUACUAUAUGAUAUGAUACAAUAUAUUUCUCUUAAGGAAAAAAUUGGUCAGAGACUUAAGUGAUGCACAUUCUUAAAAAGAUUUUGGGUUGGCACCAAGGGUGGCCAAUUCGACUACUGGAGGGCUCAUGCUCCCCUUGGCCGUUGCUCUAGACAUGUCCCUGCUGACCCAUGGUACUCAAAACAUAAAAAAUAAAUAGAUGUGACAGAUAGUGUGGAGUUUAUUUUUUUUACCCUUCAUUUGUUUAUUUGAAAGCCAGCACAUGACUGAUUAUGCCUUUGUCAUACUUUUCAUACCAUUUGUGGACAAGUAGACUCCCAUUUUCACUGUCAUGAUGAUAGGAAAGAAACAAAAUGUGUCUGUAUGUGAGGAUACAUACAUGUAUUGAGGACAGAAAAGUGAUAAUUUCCUACACUCUUGUAUAUCUUGUGUUCGUACCUUACUAAAGUUAGUGCUGUGAUUUCAUCUUCAAUCAUUGUGUAUGUUUUUAUAAAAUUAAAGCACUUUCCUUGUUAUUUCCCUUACUUUUUUGUGCAUUGCCUUUAGGAUCCAGGCUUUACUUAUGGUGCAAUCUUACUUGUAACUUGCAAUUAAUCAGAGUGGCCUGACCAUCUAUCCCCUGUUGGGGGCAUACAUGAACAUUCUUCACCCACAGGUUAAAAAACAUCAGCUUAUACAAGAACACAGGUGAAUGCACACGCAUUACACAUCACUGAAACCAUGCACACUAGAGUACGUGCAUUGUGUAUUCACAGGCCUACAUUCAUGCAAAUCACUCCCGGCAUUUUCAAAGACUUCCCCGUGGACAGAAGCGUCUGCCAGCGCUGCUAUAAAUCACGCUGAGGCUGGUGCUGAGGGCAAGGCACACCUUGUCCACGUCGCCCCCACUCCUAGGCUGAAUAAACCAUAACAUCCUGCCACUCGUGCUGCCCGACGCCCUCAGAGCACGACCCUAGAGAAGACCCCCACCCCUUUGCCCUCAUCUCCUCCUCCUCCUCCUCCUCCCUUCCUCCAUCUCAUCGCCCAUCUCAUCUCUGCCAUUGUUCUUCCUCCUCCCUCCAGCUCAGCUAUCUUUAGAAAUUUUGGCUUUGCAAUGGGUGAUUAAGCAAAGCUUUGGUAAUUUGGAACAAUCCUAACCCCCCCCCUCCCAAUCUUCAUCUUACUUUUUUCCCCUUGUUUCAAUGACUUCCUGACGAAGAGGGGGAUGAGUGGAAGAAAAAGUAGAAAAACAACAGAAAAAAAAAAAAAAGCAGCAGGAAGCAUGCAUUUAACAGAUAGGUGCUGACACCCUCAUCCUGUCGUGUGCCGGCAUGGUUCAGGUGCUUUGGACCAAUCAGAUCUCUCCUCUCCUUUUACCUCAGGGUGUGCCCAAGUUGGCUGAGGAGAUGCACCUUUCCAUCAUGAGCCCCUCUGGAGGAAGUAUAAUGUUUCUGGAAAGAAAAGGAGAGGAUUUUACCGCCUGUUUGCAGGCUUCACCACCCAACAGAGACAUAAAAGUGAACAAAGGAUAAAGUACGUGCUAAGUGUCAGGUUAUCUGAUGACCGUUUCCUUUAAUUUUUAUUACAGAGUGAGAGGUAAAGAUAACAGACCAACCAAUGCAGAGCUCUUUGCAUUCCUUUAUAACUUCUCCCUUACAAUUUAAA